GGAAUAAGCCCGGAAAACUGGGCCUAUUCCUGGAUAUUACCUUUAGCCACAGGGUUUUAGGUGGAAACAUUUAUCUGUUGGGGAUGGACUCGCGGCAUAUCAGCUUGUUGGUGAGGUAAUGGCUCACCAAGGCGACGACGGGCUGCCGGCCUGAGAUGAUGACCGGCCCCGCUGGGACUGAAACGCGGCCACUACUCCUACGGGAGGCAGUGGUGGGGAAUAUUGCACAAUGGGCGAAAGCCUGAUGCCAUGACGCCGCGUGAGGGAUGACGGCCUUAUUGUUGUAAACUUCUUUCUGUAAGGAAGAAGCGAAAGUGACGGUACCUGCAUUUUAACCGCCGGCUAACUACAUGCCCCCAGCCGCUCUAAUACCUAGGGCGCGGCGUUAUCCGGAUUUAUUGGGCGUAUAGAGCUCAUAGGCGGUUUGUCGCGUCUGCCUGGAUAGUUCGAUGCUCUGCCUCAUAUCUGCGGUGGGUACGGGCACAGUAUACUGAUGUGAGUGAGACUAGAAUUCCUGGUGUUGGGGGUGAUAUGCGCAGAUAUCAUGAGGAACACCGAUGGCGAAAGGCAGGUCUCUGGGCAUCUACUGACGCUGAGGAGCGUAAGCAUGGGGAGCGAACAAGGAUUAGAUACCCUGGUAGUCCAUGCCGUAAACGUUGGUGCACUACGUGUAGCGGAACAUUUCUACGUUUUCCGCGCCGUAGCCUAACGCAUUGACGUGCCCCGCCUGGUGAGUACGGCCGCAGGGCUAAAACUCAACGGAGUUGACAGGGGCCCGCACUAGCGGCGGAGCAUGCGGAUGAUUCGAUGCAACGCGAGUACCAUACCACGCAUGACAUGUCAGACUGCUCAAGAUGGGUUUCCAUCGGGCUGUCACAGUGUGCAUGUGUCGUCAGCUCGUGUCUGAGAUGUUGG
Molecule: ribosomal RNA, 915 nt
Filed under: bacterium
Lineage: Bacteria
Description: bacterial SSU rRNA
Rfam family: Bacterial small subunit ribosomal RNA
Source: RNAcentral